UCUCUGUCUCUCUCUCAAAAAUAAAUAAACAUUUAAAAAGAAAAAGUCCUUUGACAUUGAAGGGAAUCACAGUUUUGUAGAUUAAGCAAAUGUAUGGAUAAUUACACUUUUCGUCUUAGCGCUUGUCAAAAUGAUAAUUAAUUGACUUAUUGUUUAUCUCCCUCACCAGGGAAUAGACCAGGGCUACCAGUUCAAUAUUAUUCCCAACACCUAAUCCAAUACUUGGCACAUAAGAGGGGAAGAAUGCAUAUUUGUUGAAUCAAUUACUGAAUUAUAGCUAUAGAAUAAUAUUCUAAUAGUGACACAUCUGAACUUCAGUGGAGGCGACUACGAUCUAUUUAACUCUGAGCAGAAGAAUCAGAGGUUUCAUAAAAAAGACCACGUCCAAGCUGAGACUUUUAAGAAUCAGUAGGAGAUGGAGUGCCUGGGUGGCUUAAGUCGGUUAAGCAUCCGACUUCAGCUCAGGUCAUGAUUUCAUGGUUUGUGGGUUUGAGCCCCACAUCGGGCUCCACGCUGUCAGCCCAGAGCCUGUAGUCUGCGUCAGCUUUCUGUGUCUCCCUCUCUCUCUGCCCCUCCCGCUCGCACUCUCUCUCUCUCUCUCAAACAUAAAUAAACAUUACAAGAAACUUUAAGGAUCAGUAGGAGUUGAAGAAAACAGGUUAAGUUGGAUGCUGCUGCAGUGAAGUAAAUAGAGGAGGUGUCAGGAGAUAGAGCUGGGAAGAGCUUUUUUCUGUAAGCCGGCAUUUCCAACAGUGUCUUCUGAGGAUGCUGGUCUCGCCUGUUAUUCAGAGAAAACCAUUUUCCGUGUGCUGGUAAAUGUUUAACAAUUGGAUCGCCUGAAAAUAUAAAAAGUCCUGAUUUGUAACGCUGGCCAGGAAUAGAUGCAGAGCAGCACGCUACUUUGUAGAAUUUCUACCAUCCAGAUGCAGGAGAUACACGUGACUCCGAGAACAAGAAAAAAAUGGAGAGCCUCAGAGGUAGGCCCCCGUCUCUCAUUGCUUCCUCUGAACUCGACAUGACAAGGACUCUCUUCUGCCCAGAAAGAAACAGCUUCAUGUCAAGGCAACUUGGAAGUUGGAAGUUGAAGGAAACUGUUAUGUAAAUAAAGAAGACUGAUAAAACAGAAGAAAAUGGGGCAAGUAAAGACACCUUGUUCAGGAAAAAAAAAACCAAGAAGGCAUACAAUAAAAAUUACUUCUUUAAACAAAGACUGAAAUGUUUCUAUGAUUUAUCACAGGUUGAAUUAUAUGUAGCUCUGGCUCCUGAGGUAAUCUCAAAUCCAAUAUAUUUGCAAACAACCAUGUCCUAGAGUCUUUGCUAUACAAUACAACAUGCUUAAAGCUAAAACUGAAAUCAAAAAGAAACAGUAUGAAUAAGGAAGUUAAGAUGAUGAAGGCUUACCUAGGGGAGACAUUCAUCAACAUCCAGACAUGUGACUAUUUGGUGCAAACUUGAUUUAUAGAUGUAUAAAACUCCACAACCCCUAAAAAUUAAAACUUUUAUUUCCUACAUGAAGUUUAGUAUGUUUAAGGCC
This is a long non-coding RNA of Acinonyx jubatus (cheetah), 1534 nucleotides long. RefSeq lists it as uncharacterized. Lineage: Eukaryota; Metazoa; Chordata; Mammalia; Carnivora; Felidae. The record is from RefSeq and is a predicted model, not a curated record. The transcript has 3 exons.